UACGGAGGGUGCGAGCGUUGUUCGGACUCACUGGGCGUAAAGCGCGUGUAGGCGGCCCACUAAGUCUGAUGUGAAAGCCCGGGGCUCACCCCCGGAAGUGCAUUGGAAACUGGUGGACUCGAGUCCCGGAGAGGAGAGUGGAAUUCCUGGUGUAGCGGUGAAAUGCGCAGAUAUCAGGAGGAACACCAAUGGCGAAGGCAGCACUCUGGGACGGUACUGACGCUGAGACGCGAAAGCGUGGGGAGCAAACAGG
This 253-nucleotide ribosomal RNA is filed under the name uncultured bacterium. Its description in RNAcentral is "partial 16S ribosomal RNA". It matches the Rfam family "Bacterial small subunit ribosomal RNA", at positions 524 to 776 of the family's 1533-position model. The record is from RNAcentral.